RNAcentral lists this ribosomal RNA (253 nucleotides) under uncultured bacterium. RNAcentral's name for it is "partial 16S ribosomal RNA". It matches the Rfam family "Bacterial small subunit ribosomal RNA", at positions 524 to 776 of the family's 1533-position model. The record is from RNAcentral.
UACGGAGGAUCCAAGCGUUAUCCGGAAUCAUUGGGUUUAAAGGGUCCGUAGGCGGUCUUAUAAGUCAGUGGUGAAAUCUCCCCGCUCAACGGGGAAACUGCCAUUGAUACUGUAAGACUUGAAUUAUUGUGAAGUAACUAGAAUAUGUAGUGUAGCGGUGAAAUGCUUAGAGAUUACAUGGAAUACCGAUUGCGAAGGCAGGUUACUAACAAUGGAUUGACGCUGAUGGACGAAAGCGUGGGGAGCGAACAGG